Puccinia graminis f. sp. tritici is the source of this 106-nucleotide transfer RNA. It matches the Rfam family "tRNA". From Rfam's summary of the family: Transfer RNA (tRNA) molecules are approximately 80 nucleotides in length. The record is from Rfam. NCBI's taxonomy places the organism in Eukaryota, Fungi, Basidiomycota, Pucciniomycetes, Pucciniales, Pucciniaceae.
GGUCGAUUAGCUCAGUCGGUUAGAGCGCCGUACUAAUACCUCGGGUUCCGAAGCCGUUUCGGACCAGUACAUGCGGAUGUCAUGGGUUCGACCCCCAUAUUGACCA